RNAcentral lists this long non-coding RNA (1330 nucleotides) under Homo sapiens (human). RNAcentral's name for it is "HSALNT0151458". The record is from RNAcentral. Lineage: Eukaryota; Metazoa; Chordata; Mammalia; Primates; Hominidae.
CAGUUCUAUAGGUCAGAAGUCUCACUGGCCUAACCUUGAGGUGACAUCAUUGCUAUAUUUCUUCUGGACGCACUAGGAGACAAUCUGUUUCUUUGCCUUUUCCAGUUUCUAGAGGCCAUCUUUCCCCUUGGCUCAUGGUCCCUUCCUUCAUCUUCAAAGCCAGCGGUGUAGCAUCGUAGCAUCUUCAUGUCUCCUUGGGAUAAGAUGGGGCUCUCCUGGAUGAUUCAAGAAAGAAAAUAUCUGAAUAGCUCGCAAAAUGAAUGAGUCAUGUGGCUUCUGCAGCAGCCCAAGUGGUGGAAAUCAGACUGUUCUUGUCCUCGGGAAAACAACACUAAGCCACAUCUGUGAUGAGCCAGAAAUCAGUUUUAUGUAAAAGAAUAUGUGAGGGAACAGAAAGGGGAAGAAGUCUGGAAAAUCCAUGGCACAAACCCACAGCAAAUUCAUCCUGAAGUUUGCACGUGUCACUUACCAAUGCGAAAAGACUGGAAUCAAGACAGCUCUUCAAGAGGCCUGAAACCAUCAUGCACUGAAAUCAGAAUCAAGGACCUCCCUGGGUUUUACACACAGUUCCAGCUACAGAAAAGUUUCAGGAUAAGUUAGUAUCCACUGGGACUUUGCAGACCAGAAUAAGAAUUACCCACCAAAGACCAUACAUGACAUGGAAUCAGAAAGCUUCCAAAUUCAUAUGGGUGUUUGUAUUACUUUGCAACUAAUUUAUCACCAAGCCUUUUAUCAUAUAUCACUAGACAUUUUAAUAUAUGUAGGGUUCCAUUCUUUCCUAUCCUGUUAUUUGCUAAAACAUUUCUAGCUUCGCCUAUCCCAUUUAUAUCCUUGUCUAACCCUCUGCCAUUUUCACAUAGAUUUGGGGGCUUUCGAGAUACGGAGGUUGGAGGAAAUGGUGAAAGGCAUGGGGGAGAAAGGCAAGCGGUGCUUAAGGCAGGGCUGGAGGGGAAGCCUCAAAGAUGUUGGACACUUCUGGGAAUCUUACGGGAAAGAAAAUGGAACGUUAACUGUAGUGAGUUUUGUACAUCCUUAGUAAUAAAAAUAAAGAAUGUGGGUAAUUGAAAGAUUAUUGUGGGUUUAAUCAGAUGCAUUUUCUGACUGUGCCAUUGCUCUAAGGCUGUACCUCAUGGAUCAUGGUUUCAAGUGAGGCUAUAUCAGGGGCUAUUUUCUAGACCAUGGAUUAACUGUUACCCUAGACCUAAGUUAAGAGUGCAUUUUCCCCAUGGCAGGCAGAUUUUUGGAAAAAUGGUAUAAAAACAAAAGAGUCAAUUAAAUCCAACCACUGAUGACUGCCAGAAUAAUCCUGAAGAGCUGAAGAUAUGUUGUA